This 238-nucleotide long non-coding RNA is filed under the name Sus scrofa (pig). Its description in RNAcentral is "Hydatidiform mole associated and imprinted conserved region 1 (ENSSSCG00070025668.1)". It matches the Rfam family "Hydatidiform mole associated and imprinted conserved region 1". Lineage: Eukaryota; Metazoa; Chordata; Mammalia; Artiodactyla; Suidae. The record is from RNAcentral.
CUUACCAUGUGCUAAGUAUCCACUGGGCUCCGGGCGAGACUGAUGGGUUAAUACACGGGAGGGGGGGGGGGGGAGGACAUAAGGGACCAGGACCUCAGUGAGGCCCCAGAAAGCUCACAGGAGGGGCCUCCGAUCCUGCCUGGGGAGGGAGGGGUUAGAGAAGGAUUCCUGGAAGAAGGAGGACCUAAGCUGAGUGUUUCUAUUUUUAAUUUUUAUUGGUUUCCUAAAACAUAAAGGU